CCCCAUGAAUCUAGGUGAGGACAGGCGCUCCUGCUUUCCCGCCCAAAUGUUGCAUUUUCCAAGCCUACCCUUGCCGGCCACGCCCCCAACCUGGGCCUAUAAAAACCGCCCCCCCACCCCCCGCAGGCCCUAGCCCGCAGACACACUGAAGUCGCUAGACGUCGUGAGGAACACAUCCGGGGAAGAAGACACAGGUGGCUGGUCAUCGAGAGCCCGCUGGGGGAAGAGCACACAGACAGGCACCGGCAGGCCAUUGACCAGCGGGACAAGGGGUGCUCAAUGUCAUCACAAGGGUCCUUAAGAGGGAAAGAGGAAGCCAUGAGGGUCAGAGUCAAAGGAAGACUUGAAGAUACUACACUGAGGACUUUAAAGAUGAAGGAAGGGGCGAAAACCAAGAAUGUGGGAAGCCUCUAGAAGCUAGAGAAGGCAAGGAAACAGAUUUUCCACUAGAGCCUCCAGAAGGAACACAGCCCUGCUGACCCACUGUAAUGUCUGACCUCUAGAUGUGUAAGGGUAGUAAGACUGAAAGUCUCAGAAAGGCACUGUUACAUUCUUAUUCCACAACCAUGCAACUCAAAACUGGGGUCCUCAGCAAUGAGCGAGGGGCGAGAGAAGGCACUGUAUAAACAUGGCACAUCCUCCUGGAAAGUCAACUUUACUCAAAGGUUCUUACACACAGUGACAGCUAGCAGAGUCUAAAGUGCUGACAUUAUGACUUAGAGAUGUGAUAAAGAGAAACAUCUAUUGCAUUUUCUGUAAGUAAAUGUGGUGCCGGCAUUGAGAGAACAUACGUAAUCGGAUACCUGUUCUCCCUGAGUUUCUUAAUUUAAGCCUCGCGAUUCCUAAUUAGCAGUUAGAUUGCAUCCAUUGUUAUUUUGUCUUUGGUUAUCAAUGAUGAUCAACCUUUGCUAAACAAAGAUAUGUCAUCAUGCUGGGGACACUCAUGGAUUUUUUUUUUUAAAGGUUUUUAACAUUUGAUAGUAGGUUUUCCAAUAGCUUGAAGGGUAGCUUUUAACAUUUCUUUUCCAGCUGAAGUAUUUCCUGAGUUCUGUCCAAGCCCUCUGUAGUUAAAGAAAAGGCUUUUUGACACUGAAUAGACAAUGUUGUGGCUUUUUUUUCCCUUCUUCAGACAAAUGUAUAGGCAUUUAGACUGCCACGUUGUACUCUCGUAAUUGAGACACCUUGCAGAAAUGGCAAUUAUAGGGUGACUCGUGUCAAAAAUAUUCAGAAUAAAUUACAUUUUACUGAUUUUUGAAAACUUUCAAAGGUACCCUCUCCUCUUUCUUUCUCCUUUCUCUCUUCUUACCUCCCUCCCACCCGCUCCUCGUUUUUUCUUUUAAAUAUUAAGUAAACUAUUUGCAUUUUUAUGUCUCAUCAAAGUUGUUCCAGGUUUUUUCUGGGUUUACUAAAACUCCAAAUGGACUACUCAGAUCAAAACAAUUAGUGAAGUCUAAGGUAUUCUUAAUUCCUGAAAUGAAAACAGAAUGGAUGUUCAGGACGUUCUGUUUUGCUCUGGCUACCCGCUUGGCUUCUCGCUCAGAAUAUUCUUGCUCUCAAGUUAGUUCCAGUUCUGUUUAUUUUGUCCUGAGCUCAGUGAACUUUCCAAAGCCCUACUCUUCAAACAACACUUUUUUCCCCCGCCCUGUGAGCUGGAGUUUAUUUUGUGCUCACCCUUCAUUCUGUGGGUUGUGAAUAAUUAUAACACAAAGAAAAAAAAUCUCCUCCUGACCACGGAGAGAAGGGGGAGUUUUAGAAUAAAGAUAAAAAUUGCUGUUUUAGCCCCCAAAGCAAAGGACUUAGGAAAGAAGAGAAAAGGGGGGAAAAAUAGAACAGCAAAGGAAAAAAAAAA
RNAcentral lists this long non-coding RNA (1849 nucleotides) under Pongo abelii (Sumatran orangutan). Its description in RNAcentral is "lincRNA". The record is from RNAcentral. Lineage: Eukaryota; Metazoa; Chordata; Mammalia; Primates; Hominidae.